CACGUAGGGCGCAAGCGUUGUCCGGAAUUAUUGGGCGUAAAGAGCUCGUAGGCGGACUGUUGCGUCCGCUGUGAAAAGCUGGGGCUUAACCCUGGCCUUGCAGUGGAUACGGGCAGACUAGAGGUAGGUAGGGGAGAAUGGAAUUCCCGGUGGAGCGGUGAAAUGCGUAGAUAUCGUAAGGAAGACCAGUGGCGAAGGCGGGUCUCUGGACAGUUCCUGACGCUGAGGCACGAAGGCCAGGGGAGCAAACGGG
RNAcentral lists this ribosomal RNA (253 nucleotides) under uncultured bacterium. RNAcentral's name for it is "partial 16S ribosomal RNA". It matches the Rfam family "Bacterial small subunit ribosomal RNA", at positions 524 to 776 of the family's 1533-position model. The record is from RNAcentral.